CAGCACAGUUUAGCAGUGCAGAUAUUUUUCAGUUACAACUGAAUUCACACUUUUAAUCCCAGAAAAAAACAACGCUCUUAUUUACCUUUUAAAAAGUCAUUUAAAUGCUGAUUAAAGGUCUGAUUACUGUGUGAGGUGAUGCUGUGUGAGGUGAUGCUGUGUGAGGUGAUGCUGUGUGAGGUGAUGCUGUGUGAGGUGAUGCUGUGUGUUAGGUGAUGCUGUGUGUGAGGUGAUGCUGUGUGUGAGGUGAUGCUGUGUGUGAGGUGAUGCUGUGUGUGAGGUGAUGCUGUGUGUGAGGUGAUGCUGUGUGUGAGGUGAUGCUGUGUGUGAGGUGAUGCUGUGUGUGAGGUGAUGCUGUGUGUGAGGUGAUGCUGUGUGUGAGGUGAUGCUGUGUGUGAGGUGAUGCUGUGAGAAAUGAUGCAGUAUGACGUGUGUGACGCUGUGUAAAGUGUGCGA
This is a long non-coding RNA of Astyanax mexicanus (Mexican tetra), 456 nucleotides long. RefSeq lists it as uncharacterized. The transcript is spliced from 3 exons. Lineage: Eukaryota; Metazoa; Chordata; Actinopteri; Characiformes; Acestrorhamphidae. The record is from RefSeq and is a predicted model, not a curated record.